UUUUUUUUUAUUCCUAUCCCUACCUCCUCGCGGUACUGGCCGGAGUACGAGUAACCUCAAGAAAGAUAAGGAAUCACCAACCCCGGUGGGAACAUUGGUCGAAUGCUGACAGGGAAAG
RNAcentral lists this ribozyme (118 nucleotides) under Aedes aegypti (yellow fever mosquito). RNAcentral describes it as "drz-agam-1 ribozyme". It matches the Rfam family "drz-agam-1 ribozyme". Lineage: Eukaryota; Metazoa; Arthropoda; Insecta; Diptera; Culicidae. The record is from Rfam by way of RNAcentral.